AGCCUAUGGUAAGGGCACCUUCUCAAUAAGUCUUUUUAUCUCUCCCAUGCGUCAUAAAGACUUGCUAAAUCCAUCUGCACACAAGAAGAGAUAACAUUCCUCAAUUU
Molecule: non-coding RNA, 107 nt
Organism: Gossypium hirsutum (cotton)
Lineage: Eukaryota; Viridiplantae; Streptophyta; Magnoliopsida; Malvales; Malvaceae
Source: Rfam